Long non-coding RNA from Catharus ustulatus (Swainson's thrush), 3274 nucleotides. RefSeq lists it as uncharacterized. The record is from RefSeq and is a predicted model, not a curated record. The transcript has 8 exons. NCBI's taxonomy places the organism in Eukaryota, Metazoa, Chordata, Aves, Passeriformes, Turdidae.
ACUGAGCAUCUGUCUACAGCCUAAAAUUACUGCUUUGUUUGGGGAUUUGUUUGUUUGUUGGUUGGAGUUUUGGUUUGUUACACUGCAGGAUCACUCCUAACUGAUAAUACAAUUAAGAAAGAAACUUCAGAAAAAGAUAACUAAGUCCUACGGCUUUUAAUUCCCUAUUGGGUUUUGGGAAGAAGUAGUUUGUGGCAAACAAGGAAGACAAACCUGGAUCCUUUGCUGCAUCCUUCCUCCUAUUUAAGAAGAUUUGUGAUUCUACAUCUAAAUCCAGCAACUUUCCAUGUGGCCCUGAUUCAGACUAGGAUAAAACCUUCCAUCCAAAGAGGAUCCUGAGGGUCUCAUGAGCACCCAGAACCUGCUAUACCUGUAUUCCCACCAGCACCCGUCAGAGCACUGUUCACCAGAAGAGUUCCCAGGAGGACAGAUACCUUUAUAUAUGGAGCGCCUGAAACAGAAGAUAAAAAAAAAAAGACCACAAAGGAAAGAAUCUGAUUUACAAGUAACUCUGUUCAUUGCAAGGGUUAGACCAGACCCUCAACUGCAGCAGAGCAACACCAUUUAAAUCAGCAAAUGUAUUUCUCCAUCUCUGUCUCACUGAUCCCCCUUUGCAAACACCUACAGUGUCAGGGCUGGGAAGGACCCACCAAGGUUCUCAAGACCAGCACGACCACAUCAUCAAACUUUGCAUAAUUUAUCAAUUUGUGAAGACUCUUCAGGCCCUCCCUACUCAGCAGGCCCAGCAAGGUGACUCUGUUUCACAAGGGCAGCACUUGGAUUUGGAUUGGGUGCUGGAACUUGGCUUUGGGGGCAGAGGACCCUGAUGUGAGUCCUUGGUGUGAAUAUCGUGCUCCAUCCUCCAUGGCAAGAAUAUAACAGGUGUAACAGCAGUCAGGAUGCUGCCAGCAUUUUGUGCUGCAUUGUUCUGUCUGUUCAUUUCUUUGAGUCCUUUUUACUAAGCCUUCAGCAGAAAGGCUGGGCUCUGGAAAGGGCUGCUUGGAUGCUCAUAGUCCUCUUUGUGUGACAUUCCACCCUGUGAAGAGCCCAGGAAGUACAGGCAGUACUUAAAUUUCCACACUCCACUUCCAGUCACCCCUAGAGGCUGAUUCUGCUGUGAUCCUCAGCAGGACAUCUAUGUCUCAAGCCUUGUCCUUCUGUUUACUUGUGUUUGCUUCUGCAUGCUUUGCUCCUGACCUAUUCAAUGUGUUAUUGAGCCCUGCAAUUAUUUUUCCAUUCAUUUUCUCCUUUCCUGACUCAUUUAUCUUGACCUCUUGUGCAUUGAGAUGCACCAUCUAGCCCAGUGUGGUGGAAAGUGGGAAUCUGCUGCCUUUGGAAGCCCUGCGAGCUGGGAACAGUUGUCCCCUGGAUAUGUUGCUCCAGUUCCACUCCAGAGCUUGCUCAUGCAAGAAAGUAAUUUUUGGCCUGCAUUUCUGCAAGAAGAACAAAACAGCCAGCUCAUUUUCUGUCUCCAGGCAGACUUCCCAAAGAUUAUAGGAGGAGGAUGGGCCUAGGGGCUUUCUGGCCUGGAAUGCAACAGACCAUGGGACAAACAAGAACGCUGGCACAGUCAGGUGGCUGAGUGUCCAAAACAGCCCAAAAUUGCUGAGUGCCUCAGCCUACCUGCUCACUGAUGGUCCUCCUGCACCAAACUGCCUCACACCUGGGUCUAACCCCACAGUGCAAACCCAAGGGGCUGCUCUCCCUAAGGGUUUUGCUGCUUCAUUGCUUUGUCUCUGCAUUUUUUAUGAAUUUUUGGGAAAUCUGUAGCAGUGAGAGCUUUGUGCAAACAGGAGUGCACUGCAUGCCCCGAGUGCCUGGGAUGAAACAGCAUGCUCAAAGCCUCCAGCCUGAGCUGCCAGUGUCCUCAGAAGCAUAUCUUAUCCCCACUGGCUCUUUGGGAUUUUAAGGUGGCUGUUCACAGGGAAUCUAGCCUGUCUUUUUUUCCAGCAUUUCUAGUACAGAACAGCAUGUUCUGCUUUCCUUCUGCAGCCAGAGGGGGAAGGAGUUGGAGGAGAUGGAGUGAUGUGGCUUCUGUGAUGCUCUUUUGCCAUUCCCUUUCGUGUCUUGUUUUUUGUUUAGUUGGAAAGGCAAGGCAGGGAUGCUGGCCUUAUGUGAUGAAAAGCAGUUUUGCUAUGAGGUAACAAAAACUACUACCCAAAAGGAAGAUUGGAACAAUGGUGAAAGAUUGGAGUUUCAAUUUCCAAAAAUUGAAAGAUGUGCCAAGAGCUAUCAAGUCCUUGUUGUCAGACAGAUGGUCUGUCUGGUAACAUGUCAAUCUUUUCCUAAGAUAUUGAGGUUCACUUCAGCAAAAGGAAGGGUCCCAAAAUAUUUCCCUAAAAUGACAGCACAAACCAGCAGAAACAGCCAGUGAAUUCAUCAAUCUCAACAUUUAUUUUGAGCCUGAAUGCAAUAUUCCUGGAGAACCCAAAUAAGGAAACAAUUAUAAAGAAAGCUCAAAAUAUAACACUCCUCUCUUCAGGCCUUGUGUGAUGUAAACUGAAUAAAAGUUCCUAAUGGAAAAAAGAACAGCAGCAAAUUCUUGAAAGGACAGACCACCUGCAACUCCGGCUUCAUGGAAAAAGGGAUGGAGGUUCUCAGCAUUUCAUCGGAGUCAAGCCAGGAUGGGGAAAUGUUGUGAGCUGUGUCCGUCCUCCAGCCCUUCUGCUUCUCCAGCACUGUCUCUGCCUCGACAAGUUGCUUUGUGACUGUGAGCCUUCCUCAGAGAAGCUGCCACUGACCUGGCUGCUGCUGCCUGAGAGCACAGGACUACAGAGAGAACACUGCUUUUCUGUUCUCUCACCCUGUCAGAUCCCCUUGGCCAGAGGACGUGGAUCUGGCCAGCUUCCAGAGAGUGAAUGUGGUGAUAAGGAAAAGCAGAGAGACUUUGGAAGACAAAGAUAUACUGUUACACUGGGCACCAGCAAGGAAGAACAUUAUCUUACGGAAAUUGUAUCUGAGUAAGCUCUGUAUUACCAGGAAACUUGGCAACAAUGAUGUCCAACCAUUCUGGUGCUGGGGCAGACCUGUCAGCCCCAAAUGACCUUGCUGGUGUAAAAGAAAGACCAGGCCCAUCUUUAUCACCACUGACCUUCAGAGGAAAACUGCACCCUUCUCCAGGAUCACUGCUUCAACAGAAUCACAUCUGUCACUGCAGGAGGAUGCAGCCACCAUUUAAUGGGACUACUGCCAACACCCUGAUUGAUGGAGUAUCAGGUUGUAUUCUGACUCUGUCAGUGUUUUGUUCUUUUGUAUUACUGUAUAUUUUUUAAAU